GAUGAACGCUGGCGGCGUGCCUAAUACAUGCAAGUAGAACGCUGAAGGAGGAGCUUGCUCUUCUGGAUGAGUUGCGAACGGGUGAGUAACGCGUAGGUAACCUGCCUGGUAGCGGGGGAUAACUAUUGGAAACGAUAGCUAAUACCGCAUGACAACAGUUAUUGCAUGAUAACUGUUUAAAAGGGGCAACUGCUCCACUACCAGAUGGACCUGCGUUGUAUUAGCUAGUUGGUGAGGUAACGGCUCACCAAGGCGACGAUACAUAGCCGACCUGAGAGGGUGAGCGGCCGCACUGAGACUGAGACACGGCCCAGACUCCUACGGGAGGCAGCAGUAGGGAAUCUUGGGCAAUGGACGGAAGUCUGACCGAGCAACGCCGCGGGAGUGAAGAAGGUUUUCGGGUCGUAAAGCUCUGUUGUAAGAGAAGAACGAGUGUGAGAGUGGAAAGUUCACACUGUGACGGUAUCUUACCAGAAAGGGACGGCUAACUACGUG
This 495-nucleotide ribosomal RNA is filed under the name uncultured bacterium. RNAcentral's name for it is "partial 16S ribosomal RNA". It matches the Rfam family "Bacterial small subunit ribosomal RNA", at positions 28 to 507 of the family's 1533-position model. The record is from RNAcentral.